RNAcentral lists this ribosomal RNA (1261 nucleotides) under metagenome. Its description in RNAcentral is "bacterial SSU rRNA". It matches the Rfam family "Bacterial small subunit ribosomal RNA", at positions 242 to 1520 of the family's 1533-position model. The record is from RNAcentral.
UAGCUAGUUGGUGAGGUAACGGCCCACCAAGGCUGAGAUCGGUAGCUGGUUUGAGAGGACGACCAGCCACACUGGAACUGAGACACGGUCCAGACUCCUACGGGAGGCAGCAGCAAGGAAUAUUGUGCAAUGGGCGAAAGCCUGACACAGCGACGCCGCGUGGGGGAAGAAAGGCUUCGGGUUGUAACCCCUUUUCUUGGGGAAGAAUAAUGACGGUACCCAGGGAAUAAGUCACGGCUAACUACGUGCCAGCAGCCGCGGUAAUACGUAGGUGGCAAGCGUUAUCCGGAUUUACUGGGCGUAAAGAGGGUGUAGGUGGCCCUAUAAGUCGGAUGUAAAAUCUCUCGGCUUAACUGAGAGCGACCAUCCGAUACUGCAGGGCUAGAGUGCAGCAGAGGAAAGCGGAAUUCCCGGUGUAGUGGUGAAAUGCGUAGAUAUCGGGAGGAACACCAGUGGCGAAGGCGGCUUUCUGGGCUGUUACUGACACUGUGGCCCGUAAGCGUGGGGAGCAAACAGGAUCAGAUACCCUGGUAGUCCACGCUGUAAACGAUGGGUACUAGGUAUGGGGGGUAUCGACCCUCUCCGUGCCGAAGCUAACGCUUUAAGUACCCCGCCUGGGGACUACGGUCGCAAGACUAAAACUCAAAGGAAUUGACGGGGGCCCGCACAAGCAGCGGAGCGUGUGGUUUAAUUCGAUGCAACACGAAGAACCUUACCAGGACUUGACAUGACGGAAGUAGUGAAGCGAAAGCGGAACGACCUGUUGAGUCAGGAGCCGCCCAGGUGCUGCAUGGCUGUCGUCAGCUCGUGCCGUGAGGUGUCGGGUUAAGUCCCAUAACGAGCGUAACCCCUGUUGCUAGUUAAUUUCUCUAGCGAGACUGCCCCGCAAAACGGGGAGGAAGGCGGGGAUGACGUCAAGUCAGCAUGGCCUUUAUGUUCUGGGCCACACACACGCCACAAUGGUUGGUACAGCGGGAUGCAAUGGAGCGAUCCGGAGCUAAUCCUCAAAACCAAUCUCAGUUCGGAUUGCAGGCUGAAAUUCGCCUGCAUGAAGCCGGAGUUGCUAGUAACUGCAUAUCAGCAUGGCGCAGUGAAUACGUUCUCGGGCCUUGUACACACCGCCCGUCACGUCAUGAAAGCUGGCAACACCUGAAGUCGAUGAGCUAACCCGAGCUUAACCGCAUGGGAGGCAGUCGCCUAAGGUGGGGUCGGUAAUUGGGACGAAGUCGUAACAAGGUAGCCGUAGCGGAAGCUGCGGCUG